RNAcentral lists this ribosomal RNA (301 nucleotides) under uncultured bacterium. RNAcentral's name for it is "partial 16S ribosomal RNA". It matches the Rfam family "Bacterial small subunit ribosomal RNA", at positions 509 to 809 of the family's 1533-position model. The record is from RNAcentral.
CAGCAGCCACGGUAAUACGAAGGGUGCAAGCGUUAAUCGGAAUUACUGGGCGUAAAGCGUGCGUAGGCGGUUUGUUAAGUCUGUUGUGAAAUCCCCGGGCUCAACCUGGGAAUGGCAAUGGAUACUGGCAAGCUAGAGUGUGUCAGAGGAUGGUGGAAUUCCCGGUGUAGCGGUGAAAUGCGUAGAGAUCGGGAGGAACAUCAGUGGCGAAGGCGGCCAUCUGGGACAACACUGACGCUGAGGCACGAAAGCGUGGGGAGCAAACAGGAUUAGAUACCCGUGUAGUCCCUGUCUCUUAUAA